GGCGUGAUAGCUCUGUUGGUAAGAGCAUUGCACCGGCAUCGCAAGGUCAUGGGUUUGAUCCCGUUCAAGCCU
This is a non-coding RNA of Desmophyllum pertusum, 72 nucleotides long. NCBI's taxonomy places the organism in Eukaryota, Metazoa, Cnidaria, Anthozoa, Scleractinia, Caryophylliidae. The record is from the annotation of a GenBank genome assembly.